AUACGGAGGGUGCGAGCGUUAAUCGGAAUUACUGGGCGUAAAGCGUACGUAGGCGGUUGGUUAAGUUAGAUGUGAAAGCCCCGGGCUUAACCUGGGAACUGCAUUUAAAACUGACGAACUAGAGUUGAGUAGAGGGGAGUGGAAUUUCAGGUGUAGCGGUGAAAUGCGUAGAGAUCUGAAGGAACACCAGUGGCGAAGGCGACUCCCUGGACUCGAACUGACGCUGAGGUACGAAAGCGUGGGUAGCAAACAGGAUUAGAAACCCUAGUAGUCC
RNAcentral lists this ribosomal RNA (274 nucleotides) under uncultured bacterium. RNAcentral describes it as "partial 16S ribosomal RNA". It matches the Rfam family "Bacterial small subunit ribosomal RNA", at positions 523 to 796 of the family's 1533-position model. The record is from RNAcentral.